Non-coding RNA from Cricetulus griseus (Chinese hamster), 2667 nucleotides. The record is from RefSeq and is a predicted model, not a curated record. NCBI's taxonomy places the organism in Eukaryota, Metazoa, Chordata, Mammalia, Rodentia, Cricetidae.
CGGAUGGAACUAGAAGAAACCAUCCUGAGUGAGGUGACCCAGUCAAAAACAGACAAACAUGAGCCCUCAUCCAGUGGCUGAUGGAAGCAGAGGCAGACACCCACAGCUAAACACCAUGCUUAACUCUGGAACCCAAAGGCACAGAGGAAGGAGUGAAGAGCAACAAGGUCAAGACCAGGCUGGUGAAACCCACAGAAACAGCUAACCUGAACAAGGAGGAGUGCGUGGACCCCAGACUGAUGUCAGGGAGGCCAGCACAGAACUUAUACAGACCCCUGAAUUGUGGAUGUAAAUGAGGAGGCCUCGGCAUUCUAUGGGACCUCUGGCAGAAGGAAUCUCUGAAGACACCCACUCUACUGGAGGCCAUGCUGGUAUUAAGAACCCCAGAUUUGUGCCUAGCCCAUGUGUCUUCAGAGAGACUUCAUCCAGAAACUGAUGGAAAUAGAGGUGGAGACCCACAGUCAAACAUUAGGUCGAGCACAGGAAAUCCUAUGGAAGAGGUGGAAGAUGGAUUGUAGGAGCUAAUGCUGUCAAGAACAUCACAAGAAAACCCACAGAAUCAACUAACCUGGGAUCAUAGGAGCUCAUAGAGACUGAAUCCAUAACCAGGGAUCUGCAUGGGCCAGAGCUAGGCCCUCUGCAUAUAUGUGACAGUUGUAUAGCUUGGUCUCUUGUAGGAUUGCUAACAGUGAAAACAGGAGCUAUACUUAAUGCUUUGGUUGGCUUUUGGGAUCCUAUUCCUCAUACUGGGUUGCCUUAUACAGCCUUAAUACAAGGGGAGGUGCUUAGUCUUACUGCAACUUGGCACACCAAACUUUUCUGACAUCCAUUGGAGGCCUGCCCUUUUUGAGUAGAAACAGAGGAGGACUGAAUGGGAGAGGGGCAGAGGGGAGUUUUAUGGUAGGGACUGGUAGGAGAGGAGGGAGGGGAAACUGAGGUUGGGAUGUAAAAUAAAGGAAUGAAUUAGCUAAAAACUUGUUUGAAGUGACACUAGCCCACUGAAGCAUGUGGCUGUGGCAGGCCUUGCUCUUCUCUCCCCAUUCCUUCUGCCUUGCUAAAAAACAAACAAACAAAACAAAACAAAAAGUUAGAUUAUAUCCCUAAAGUUAGCCACCAAGGUCUAUUCCCUUAUUUGGCCACUACCUCCUCCUGAGGUUGACUACCAAAGUCCAGCAAUCGGAAUCCCCCUUCUUACCUAAGUAACAUGCCCAAUUAAAACUAAACACCUCAUCCUAACUGAGGGUUUCCUAUGUGCCUAUGUGCCAUAUCUGUCUCCUCUGUUAUCCACAGGCAGUCCUUUGUCCCUCAUGGAACAAAUAGCUCUGUCCUCUUUCUGUUGUCCCCUUCCCCUCUCCCUCUCCCCUGUGUUCUUUACCACCACUUCCGAGCCCAUUUUCACACAGACCUCCCCUUUUCCCCCUCUUGAGAAUUACACUGCAAGGCCAUUUGCUGCUAUUUUCUGCCUGAGUCAGAAAGCAGCCACUUUUGCUUUGCUUCACCACUUAAAGGAUCUCUCUGUGAAAACGGGUGUUUUGGCUGUGGUUUGUGCCUAACCCAGGGUCCAAGAAGGAGGCUCUGCUGUGUGGGAGUCCCUUUCAGAGUUGCCAUGGUAAUAUUGUCUCUUCACAGCAAUAAAACAGUGACCAAGACACUCAUGAUCCUCCUGCUCUACCUUCAUGAGUCCUGGGAUUACAAGUAUGUACAGACUCAGUUGUAACUUUACAUUCUAAGCCUCACAAUGUAUCCACAUAGCCUCUAGUCAACUAGACCUAUUCAGAUAUGGAAAGUCCUUGGCUUCAGAAUCAUUUGCCUUGUUUUAUGCCCUAAAGCAUCACUAUCCUGACUACUGCAUAAUUUAUUUUUAAAUCAAUAACAGCUGUGUUGUCAACAAUAUACACCUAUCUGUAAUCACAUCUUUAAUAGUUUACAGCAGGAAAGAGUUUCCAAUCUUAUGAACAACUAAAUAUCUUUUUAGAAACUCUUCAGGAAUAAUUAUCCAAAUUAAACUUACUUUGACCAUUUUCAUGCAGAAUCAACAAUUACAUGUAAGAUGAACACACACAUACACACACUCACUCACACACACUCACACACUCAUUUCCACUAAUAGUCACUGACUAUAUAUAGCUUUCAUCUUCUGCUGUAUACUUGUGUACUUACUGGGUUCCUUUGAAACUAAGGAGCCAGAGAGGUUGGUACGCUCCUGUAUUCCCAUAACUGUAGAGGUUGAGACAGAAGGAUCCCAAGUUUCAGGCCAGCACAUACUACAUGGUGAGUUCUAAGCCACCCCUAGGUUACUAGAGGUUACUAGUUAGACCUGACCUUGUUUAUGAAAACAAAGCAAAAAAAAAACAUAAUUGAUGCUUCCUUCAUUGCUUUACUUUUCUUGGUAUCUGGAAACGACUGUUACAAAUAUUAAAUUCACAUAUAUAAAUUGUCAGUUUACCCUGUACAGACUUUUACUUUGGAAAAUAUAGUAUAAUUUUUGUGUUGAAUUAUUGUUUUCUUGUUGUAUAAUUUUUUAUUUUUAUUUUUUUCUACUUUUGAUUUUGAGACUGACUUUCAUUAUGUGCUCUGGCUGACCUGGAACUCACUAUGUAGACCAGACUAGCCUUGAACGUACAAUUUUGUUUUCUGAGUACUGGAAUUAAAAGGCUCAUGCUACUA